This 240-nucleotide ribosomal RNA is filed under the name uncultured bacterium. Its description in RNAcentral is "partial 16S ribosomal RNA". It matches the Rfam family "Bacterial small subunit ribosomal RNA", at positions 94 to 334 of the family's 1533-position model. The record is from RNAcentral.
AGUGGCGGACGGGUGAGUAACGCGUGGGUAACCUGCCUCAUACAGGGGGAUAACAGUUAGAAAUGACUGCUAAUACCGCAUAAGACCACAGCACCGCAUGGUGCAGGGGUAAAAACUCCGGUGGUGUGAGAUGGACCCGCGUCUGAUUAGGUAGUUGGUGGGGUAACGGCCUACCAAGCCGACGAUCAGUAGCCGACCUGAGAGGGUGACCGGCCACAUUGGGACUGAGACACGGCCCAA